RNAcentral lists this transfer RNA (85 nucleotides) under Candidatus Roizmanbacteria bacterium. RNAcentral describes it as "tRNA-Ser". It matches the Rfam family "tRNA". Rfam says of the family: Transfer RNA (tRNA) molecules are approximately 80 nucleotides in length. Their secondary structure includes four short double-helical elements and three loops (D, anti-codon, and T loops). Lineage: Bacteria; Candidatus Roizmaniibacteriota. The record is from RNAcentral.
GGAGAGGUCGCAUAGCGGCCGAGUGCAGCGGUUUACUAAACCGCCAACCUUCACGGGUUCGUGGGUUCGAAUCCCACCCUCUCCG